GGAGGUAUUGCUCAAGUGGUAAAGUACAUGCUUAGCAUGCACCAGGUCCUGGGUUCAAUCCCCAGUACCUCCA
Molecule: transfer RNA, 73 nt
Organism: Camelus ferus (Wild Bactrian camel)
Lineage: Eukaryota; Metazoa; Chordata; Mammalia; Artiodactyla; Camelidae
Rfam family: tRNA
About the family: Transfer RNA (tRNA) molecules are approximately 80 nucleotides in length. Their secondary structure includes four short double-helical elements and three loops (D, anti-codon, and T loops).
Source: Rfam